AUGCUAACGCAAAUGCUAAAUAAACAUGCACGCACAGUAAGGCUGAAAGGCUCACCUUGCCCAGCUUGUGCAUCGGCAGCUCCAAAGCCGCUGCCCAAGUCCAGCCCCAUAUUCGGCCGGACGUGGCCACGCCCCAUGGCUCCCUCAUUGUCGACCCAGUCGCCCCCUGACCUCGAUCUUCUAUGGCUGCCACCGCCAACUGGGUCGCCAGCCGGACGGCUGCUGUCGAGAAAGCCUUCCUCAUCCAUGGUCGCGGAUGGAAGAAGGGGAGAACGGACUAUGGGGAGGGACAGGGAGUGGUGA
This 303-nucleotide ribosomal RNA is filed under the name Triticum aestivum (bread wheat). RNAcentral's name for it is "partial small subunit ribosomal RNA". The record is from RNAcentral. Lineage: Eukaryota; Viridiplantae; Streptophyta; Magnoliopsida; Poales; Poaceae.